Molecule: long non-coding RNA, 909 nt
Organism: Amphiprion ocellaris (clown anemonefish)
Lineage: Eukaryota; Metazoa; Chordata; Actinopteri; Pomacentridae
Source: Ensembl
GGAACUGUCACUGUAUACAGGGAGAUUACUGGCUUCAAGUAAAGUCUUGUUAAAGCUCAGCAGCUUCCUGUGCAGCAACUUGCAGCCUUUUCCUUUCCAUGGUCACAAACCUCAUCAGCCAAACGUCAGAAAAGACAAGAAAAUGAGCAACUGUUUCCAGUGACAAACCACAUCUACUUAUCGUGAAGGUACAAUGGAUCCAACGCUGAGGCUAAUUAAGAUCAUUGUUGGUCUUGUGAUUUUGGUGCUUAGUCUUGGAUUAUACUGCUGCAAGAAAUUAACAGAAGAUGAAAGUGAUCCACCUGAGGGAGAAGAUGGAGCACCGUUACAAAGACAGCAGAUAGUGUAGCGGCUCUUCCUCCCUCUGCUCUGGAUGUGCUGUUCACACAUUUGAGGACCAUCAAGCUGGUACCAGCAUUUCCCUUUAAUCAGCAGAUGUCGACACAGCAACCAGCACUCCUCUCAAAAUGCCGCCCAAACAAUGGGAUGUAUUUUACUUCAUAUUAUCUGCAAUUUAACAAGAAAAUCUGUAAAACAACAAAACUGUUAUAAAAAUUAUGUAGCGUUUUUCUGUGCUUAAUAAACAGCAAUCAUCUGUAAAAUAAAUACAUCAUUUCUGGAUUCAGAUACUGUAAAAAUGGUGCUAUUUUACAGUCAAAUGUCAAAAAACAAAUUACCGCUUGUAAAAAUAAAGAUUUUUGAUGUGGACAUCAUGUUUGUGACAGUUUGGGCCUCUUAUUUCUCAUUAUGCAGUAAUAAAAACAUUUUUGUUUGAGAUUUUACUAGUUCCCAAAUUACAAAUUAGUCUACUGACCAAAUUAGCAGUUGUUUUCAGUUGAAGCAAUUUCAUUUAUUAUUCUUGAAACACAAUAUUACACCAGUAAUAUUGUGCGUUUUUUUUCAUCAACC